GACAUAGCAGGAAUAAUACUGCCUUUUCUUUCUGGCAUGGAUCAAGAGAAAAGAAAAUACAAGAAAACAGACAGAAGAUCCUAUCUGCGACAAUUAAGAGCACUCUAAGAGGAAAACACAUCCCACCACAGCAAGGUACUUCUAUGGAAGGGUGAGCCCUCACAGAUGGAGCAAUGGGGCGCGCACACCUGAACAAGGGAGGGGAAGGAGUUCUUAUCCCUGAUGCAUGUGACCCCUGCUGCUGUGUCCUUCCCCUAUUGGCUAAGGCUUCUGACAGCUUUGGAGAUUGUGACAUUGGAAUAAAGGAAAAACGUACAGGACUCAUGAAGCGCUGAAAUGUUCACAAAUAUCAAGCAAAAGUCAAUGAAAUUUAUUUUGAGCUAUUUACAUCAUUUAAUAAUUGAGCAAGGUAUACUCCUAUGAACAAAAUUUGGAGCAUGUUUGUCUCUCUCUGCCUGGCGUCUUCAGAAUUUGGAAACUAGUUAUGGUUUAUAAUCAGCUAUAGAAUUUUAACACGUGCUCUCAAAUGCAAGUUUCUGAUAACUUUGGAGAUUGUGACAUUGGAAUAAAGGAAGAGCUGGAAUGUUCAUGAAUAUCAAGCAAAAGUCAUGGAAAUUUAUUUUGAGCUAUUUACAGCAUUUAAUAAUUGAGCAAGGUAUACUCCUAUGAACAAAAUUUGGAGCAUGUUUGUCUCUCUCUGUCUGCCUGGCAUCUACAGAAUUUGGAAACUAGUUUCGUUCCCAGAUUUCCUAAACUUUCCAGAGAAAAUGGUCUUCUCCCUGGCUCAGCAAGAAGAUGAACUUUAAACACUGAGAAACUGGUCAUCUCCCUGGCUCAACCAGAAGAUGAACUUUAAACACUACUCUCAAUGACUUGAUGUUCCCAUCACUACUCCUGUCAUAAAGGGAGGGGACUCAGAUAUUGAGAAUUUUAUGAUAGUGUGAACUGUCUGCUGUCAGCCAGGAGGGCAGAGCUGAAAUUUAUUGCCACAUCACAUGAAGCAUAGAACAGACUCCACUACUCCUUGAGAUUCAAAACUUUGCCUCUCACAAAGUUACCUUUUAUUUUCCUCUUGUUUGUCACUCAUCUCCCCUAGUGUGCUCUUUUUAUUUCUUUUACUAUUAAUAAUAAAAUCUGUGGAUGACUGUA
This 1149-nucleotide long non-coding RNA is filed under the name Homo sapiens (human). RNAcentral describes it as "long intergenic non-protein coding RNA 320". The record is from RNAcentral. Lineage: Eukaryota; Metazoa; Chordata; Mammalia; Primates; Hominidae.